UUUCUAGUGAAUCAAUACUAGAUAAGCCCUGCCCCACGUAAUUAAGUGGCCGCGGUACAAUAACCGUGCUAAGGUAGCAUAAUCAAUUGUUUAUUAAUUGUAAAAUUGAAUGAAAGGGUAAACAAAAUAAAGACUGUCUCUUAUAAACCUACAUAAACUAUCCUCUUUAUGAAGAGAUAAAGAUAAAAUUAAAGGACAAGAAGACCCUACAGAGCUUAAAAAUAAAUUUAAUAAUUAAACUAAAGUUUGGUUGGGGCGACCUAAGAUAAAUAAAAACAUCUUUAAAUUUAUAAGAUAUACUAAUCUAUAUAAUGAUCCUAAAAAGAUCAAUGAACCAAGUUACCUUAGGGAUAACAGGCUAAUAAUUUUUAAGAGUUCUUAUCUAAAAAAUAGAUUGGCACCUCGAUGUUGGCUUAGGAAUACUAUUGCUCGCAAAAGAGCCUAUAGGUGGUUUGUUCAACCAAUAAUAUCCU
RNAcentral lists this ribosomal RNA (473 nucleotides) under Cambarincola holti. Its description in RNAcentral is "partial 16S ribosomal RNA". It matches the Rfam family "Bacterial large subunit ribosomal RNA", at positions 1831 to 2597 of the family's 2925-position model. The record is from RNAcentral. Lineage: Eukaryota; Metazoa; Annelida; Clitellata; Branchiobdellida.